UGUGUCCUACGGGGGGCAGCAGUGAGGAAUAUUGGUCAAUGGGCGCGAGCCUGAACCAGCCAAGUCGCGUGAGGGAAGACGGUCCUAUGGAUUGUAAACCUCUUUUGUCGGGGAGCAAAAGACGCCACGCGUGGCGUUCCGAGAGUACCCGAAGAAAAAGCAUCGGCUAACUCCGUGCCCGCAGCCGCGGUAAUACGGAGGAUCCGCGCGUUAUCCGGAUUUAUUGGGUUUAAAGGGAGCGUAGAUGGG
This 249-nucleotide ribosomal RNA is filed under the name uncultured bacterium. Its description in RNAcentral is "partial 16S ribosomal RNA". It matches the Rfam family "Bacterial small subunit ribosomal RNA", at positions 333 to 579 of the family's 1533-position model. The record is from RNAcentral.